This 757-nucleotide ribosomal RNA is filed under the name Argasidae sp. Its description in RNAcentral is "SSU rRNA". It matches the Rfam family "Eukaryotic small subunit ribosomal RNA", at positions 509 to 1269 of the family's 1831-position model. Lineage: Eukaryota; Metazoa; Arthropoda; Arachnida; Ixodida; Argasidae. The record is from RNAcentral.
AUGGAAUGAGUACACUCUAAAUCCUUUAACGAGGAUCAAUUGGAGGGCAAGUCUGGUGCCAGCAGCCGCGGUAAUUCCAGCUCCAAUAGCGUAUGCUAAAGCUGCUGCGGUUAAAAAGCUCGUAGUUGGAUCUCAGUUGCGGGCGGGUGGUGCAUCUACCCGAUGUGACAGCCCGAUCUGAACAUCUUGCCUUCUAUCCUCUGGUGUCCUUCACUGGAUGCCUUUGGGUGGUCGGUGCAUUUACUUUGAAAAAAUUGGAGUGCUCAACGCAGGCGAAGUGCCUGAACACUUAUGCAUGGAAUAAUAGAACAAGACCCCGUUUCUGUUCUGUUGGUUUUUGGAAAACGAGGUAAUGAUCAAGAGGGACAGACGGGGGCAUUCGUAUUGCGGCGCUAGAGGUGAAAUUCUUGGACCGUCGCAAGACGAACUACAGCGAAAGCAUUUGCCAAGAAUGUUUUCAUUGAUCAAGAACGAAAGUUAGAGGUUCGAAGGCGAUCAGAUACCGCCCUAGUUCUAACCAUAAACGAUGCCAACCAGCAAUCCGCCUGAGUUACUCCAAUGACUCUGCGGGCAGCUCCCGGGAAACCAAAGUAUUUGGGUUCCGGGGGAAGUAUGGUUGCAAAGCUGAAACUUAAAGGAAUUGACGGAAGGGCACCACCAGGAGUGGAGCCUGCGGCUCAAUUUGACUCAACACGGGAAAACUUACCCGGCCCGGACACUGGGAGGAUUGACAGAUUGAGAGCUCUUUCUUGAUCGG